AUCGUGGCUCUGGACAGAUGGGUCCGAUUGGGAUUUUGCAAACUGGAAUCCGGGUGAACCCAACAAUGUCGGUGGCACUGAGCACUGCUUACACACCAACUUUCUAGUUCAAGGUGGCUGGAAUGACAUCAACUGUGCAAAUCAGUAUCCAUUCGUCUGCAUGAUUAACAAUGAGGUAGAAGAGUGGAGUGAGGAGGAGUGGAGCCACGAGAGACACUAAAGAUGUCCGACCUUCACUACACUUCGGCUGUUUCUAAAUAAAAACACAUCUAGCAUUCA
Long non-coding RNA from Polypterus senegalus (gray bichir), 279 nucleotides. RefSeq lists it as uncharacterized. Lineage: Eukaryota; Metazoa; Chordata; Cladistia; Polypteriformes; Polypteridae. The transcript has 2 exons. The record is from RefSeq and is a predicted model, not a curated record.